Molecule: non-coding RNA, 407 nt
Organism: Pelobates fuscus (common spadefoot toad)
Lineage: Eukaryota; Metazoa; Chordata; Amphibia; Anura; Pelobatidae
Source: the annotation of a RefSeq genome assembly
AGAUGGUUUAUCAGAUGUAUCUGCUGGGGGUAUUUUUACUGAUUAUUCAAGGAUCCUGUGGAGAUAUUGUGAUGACUCAGACCCCAGAUUAUGUCUCUGUGUCACCAGGAGGAACUGUCACCAUGACAUGUACAUCAAGUAGCAGUCUAUACCACAGUAUCCAUCGUUAUUACUUCCUAGCCUGGUACCAACUGAAACCAGGACAACCUCCAAAGUUUCUUAUCUAUCAUGCAAGCUACAGAGCGACUGGGAUCCCAGACCGGUUCAGUGGCAGUUUGUCUGGAACCAGUUACACUUUAACAAUCAGUGGAUUGUUAGCAGAAGAUGCAGCAGAUUAUUACUGUCAGCAGUAUUACAGCGGGUAUCACAGUGAUACAGAGCCGUACAAAAACCUUCCUCUUUUAUAA